AGGACGAACGCUGGCGGCGUGCUUAACGACGAUGCAAGUCGAACGGAAAGGCCCUUCGGGGUACUCGAGUGGCGAACGGGUGAGUAACACGUGGGUGAUCUGCCCUGCACUUUGGGAUAAGCCUGGGAAACUGGGUCUAAUACCGAAUAGGACCACGGCAUGCAUGUGCUGUGGUGGAAAGCUUUUGCGGUGUGGGAUGGGCCCGCGGCCUAUCAGCUUGUUGGUGGGGUGAUGGCCUACCAAGGCGACGACGGGUAGCCGGCCUGAGAGGGUGUCCGGCCACACUGGGACUGAGAUACGGCCCAGACUCCUACGGGAGGCAGCAGUGGGGAAUAUUGCACAAUGGGCGCAAGCCUGAUGCAGCGACGCCGCGUGGGGGAUGACGGCCUUCGGGUUGUAAACCCCUUUCAGUAGGGACGAAGCGCAAGUGACGGUACCUACAGAAGAAGCACCGGCCAACUACGUGCCAGCAGCCGCGGUAA
Molecule: ribosomal RNA, 482 nt
Filed under: uncultured bacterium
Lineage: Bacteria
Description: SSU rRNA
Rfam family: Bacterial small subunit ribosomal RNA
Source: RNAcentral